UAUUCUAUAUAUGACCGUUUCAGCUGGCCAUAGAAGAAAGUAUUCAAAAGGAAAAUUAAUUUAUGAACAAACAUUAUUACAGAGACAAUGUUAAAGAAAAAAAAUGCUCCAAAGAUGUCUAAAAAAUUUGCUGACUAAAUAAUCCAACUUUUUUUAUUUGAUAAUGAAUCAUCAGAAAUUUAUAGGUUCACUGAUUGGCUGACUAAUUGAUGUGCAACUUCUUUUAUUUAAUAAUGAACCAUCAGAAAUUUAUAGAUGCACUGAUUGGCUGACUAAUAGAUGCGCAAGAUUAAUCCAUAUCAUGUCAAAUUAAUUGAAGAAAAGAAGGCCGUUGGUCUACAAAUGAAGCACAACUUCAUCUAAAAUUCAAACACGCGAUUUAUAUUCUUUUUAACAAAAGUGUAUCCAUCGUAGAUAUGCAUUGGAGGGAUUAAUUAUAAUUCAUGAGAUAAUCAUAGGAUAGCAUAAAUAAUUUUUAACCCUAAUUUUACAAAUGUUUCAAAAUCUUUAACAGACGAAACAGAACAUUCAAAUGUGUGUCAGUCAAACAUAUUGUUAGUACAACCAUAUGCUUGUCUCAUAUUCAAUCAAAAUAACUAAAAUCAUCUAAAACUUUUUCCUAGAACAUGAAAGAUCAUUCAACCAUUCAACUAUGCACAAAAUCAUAUGACGUCCUAUGAUUGCAAUUGCAUUCAAUUUUCCACGAGCUGAAAGCUCCACACUACACGAUCUGAUGAAAGUUCAGAAUUCAUUUAAAUUUACCAUAUCUUACUAGCACUAGCAUUCAUUUGGACAAGACACAUUUCUAGUAGUAAAGCAGCAAAAAGUUAUUUUCCCUUUGGAUCGUUCCAAUGUAGAAAAGGUACAAGCAGAAGAUACCUUUUAGGACACAUAAAAACAGAAAGAUUUGAAAGAUGGCAGUAUUUUUCAGUUAACCAAAAUUGUCAGAGUCACUGAUUGUUACCAUGCAAUUGGGUUCACUAAAAGCCUGCAAUGAUGUCUAAUACCAAAGAAUAUCGUGAAUACUGAAAAUGGUAAUUCAACUAUCCCAUCCUGAUUCCUCUUUCAGAAAUCAUUCCUCAAAAACAAAUCUGGGUUUUCUUUUCCCAAAAUGUAUACGAUGUGCGUAUGGAGAAAAACAAAGAGAAAGCUAAUUAAAUUUUGUGCAAUAACUUCCUUGUGGAAGGGGGAACAUUUGAGAUAAGGGCCAAAACAUCAGUUUUAUAAUUGAAGUGGUAAACACCAACUCCAUAGUUUAGCCAACAAAAGAUACAACGCCAAUUGAUUAGGUGAAUUAAAUACCGUAUCUUUCUUGAAAUUCAGGUG
This 1326-nucleotide unclassified non-coding RNA is filed under the name Hevea brasiliensis (rubber tree). The record is from RNAcentral. Lineage: Eukaryota; Viridiplantae; Streptophyta; Magnoliopsida; Malpighiales; Euphorbiaceae.